RNAcentral lists this long non-coding RNA (220 nucleotides) under Elaeis guineensis (African oil palm). Its description in RNAcentral is "long non-coding RNA (EGUI_LNC040885)". The record is from RNAcentral. Lineage: Eukaryota; Viridiplantae; Streptophyta; Magnoliopsida; Arecales; Arecaceae.
UGGGGAGAAGAAAGCCAUGUAACCAUAGUUAAAGAAUCUCCUUCUAAUCAAAUAUUCUGCGUAUGAAGCUCACAUAUUGCUACCUAUAUUGCCAACCAUGCUAUAGUAAGCUCAAUGACUAGCACAAAAGAUGGUAAUAAAAAUUUGCUACUAGCUCUGAUCAAGCAUGAAUUAGCAUCCCGAAUGACAUAUCCAGUUGCAGACUUAUCUUGAAAAAUAG